AUUUCUAUAUUAAUAUAGUUUAAGAAAAACAUUACAUUUUCAUUGUAGAAUUAAAUAUUAACUAUUUUAUAA
This 72-nucleotide transfer RNA is filed under the name Eniclases niger. RNAcentral's name for it is "tRNA-Glu". RNAcentral also lists the same sequence under 1 other name. Lineage: Eukaryota; Metazoa; Arthropoda; Insecta; Coleoptera; Lycidae. The record is from RNAcentral.